RNAcentral lists this ribosomal RNA (441 nucleotides) under uncultured bacterium. RNAcentral's name for it is "partial 16S ribosomal RNA". It matches the Rfam family "Bacterial small subunit ribosomal RNA", at positions 338 to 795 of the family's 1533-position model. The record is from RNAcentral.
CCUACGGGAGGCUGCAGUGGGGGAUAUUGCACAAUGGGGGAAACCCUGAUGCAGCGACGCCGCGUGGGUGAAGAAGUAUUUCGGUAUGUAAAGCCCUAUCAGCAGGGAAGACAGAAGACGGUACCUGACUAAGAAGCCCCGGCUAACUACGUGCCAGCAGCCGCGGUAAUACGUAGGGGGCGAGCGUUAUCCGGAUUCACUGGGUGUAAAGGGAGCGUAGACGGCCGUGCAAGCCAGGAGUGAAAGCCCGGGGCCCAACCCCGGGACUGCUCUUGGAACUGUGCGGCUGGAGUGCGGGAGGGGCAGGCGGAAUUCCUGGUGUAGCGGUGAAAUGCGUAGAUAUCAGGAGGAACACCGGCGGCGAAGGCGGCCUGCUGGACCGCGACUGACGUUGAGGCUCGAAAGCGUGGGGAGCGAACAGGAUUAGAUACCCUGGUAGUC